CAACCAUUUCUAAUCGCGCCUGUGCUCGAGAUUCAGGAAGGGCGGCCAUGAUGGUCCCAGAUAGUAAACUUCAACCGAAACGGAAAGUAGAGGAAGAGAAUAGUCUAGUGAAAAGAAAGGAAGUUCAGAAUGAAGCCAGCUAAAAUUACAGUGAAAGAAUCUCCAGAAGAAAGCUGAUCUUCACCUGAAAAUAGAGAAAAGAGAAACUGACAAGGAGACGAACGAAAUUCAAUUUCGCAAGAAUGAAAUCCAUCAUUUAAUGUUAGGCAAGGACGUUCUUUGGAUGAAACAAUGGUUUUAAUUUUGAAGAAAAUAUUGUCCAAGCUUAUAACAAAAUUGUAUAUUACAUACACUGCUUUACUUACAUCGGUGAUCUUCGAUUAAAAUAUAAAAGAAGCGGGAGGUCCACUGCAAAGAUAUAAAAGAAGAAUUCAUGAGCAUUACACUUCAA
RNAcentral lists this unclassified non-coding RNA (451 nucleotides) under Centruroides sculpturatus (bark scorpion). RNAcentral describes it as "gastrula zinc finger protein XlCGF8.2DB-like, transcript variant X2". The record is from RNAcentral. Lineage: Eukaryota; Metazoa; Arthropoda; Arachnida; Scorpiones; Buthidae.